Molecule: ribosomal RNA, 253 nt
Filed under: uncultured bacterium
Lineage: Bacteria
Description: partial 16S ribosomal RNA
Rfam family: Bacterial small subunit ribosomal RNA
Source: RNAcentral
UACGAACCGUCCAAACGUUAUUCGGAUUCAUUGGGCUUAAAGGGUAUGUAGGCGGCGCUGUCAGUCGGGUGUGAAAGCCCUCGGCUCAACCGAGGAAUUGCGCCCGAUACUGCAGCGCUUGAGGGAGACAGAGGUAAGCGGAACUGAUGGUGGAGCGGUGAAAUGCGUUGAUAUCAUCAGGAACACCGGUGGCGAAAGCGGCUUACUGGGUCUCUUCUGACGCUAAGAUACGAAAGCUAGGGGAGCGAAGGGG